Molecule: ribosomal RNA, 454 nt
Filed under: uncultured Ottowia sp.
Lineage: Bacteria; Pseudomonadati; Pseudomonadota; Betaproteobacteria; Burkholderiales; Comamonadaceae
Description: bacterial SSU rRNA
Rfam family: Bacterial small subunit ribosomal RNA
Source: RNAcentral
CACAAGCGGUGGAUGAUGUGGAUUAAUUCGAUGCAACGCGAAGAACCUUACCUACCCUUGACAUGUCCGGAACUUGCCAGAGAUGGCUUGGUGCCCGAAAGGGAAUCGGAACACAGGUGCUGCAUGGCUGUCGUCAGCUCGUGUCGUGAGAUGUUGGGUUAAGUCCCGCAACGAGCGCAACCCUUAUCAUUAGUUGCUACGCAAGGGCACUCUAAUGAGACUGCCGGUGACAAACCGGAGGAAGGUGGGGAUGACGUCAAGUCCUCAUGGCCCUUAUGGGUGGGGCUACACACGUCAUACAAUGGAUGGUACAAAGGGUCGCCAACCCGCGAGGGGGAGCCAAUCCCAUAAAGCCAUUCGUAGUCCGGAUCGCAGUCUGCAACUCGACUGCGUGAAGUCGGAAUCGCUAGUAAUCGUGGAUCAGAAUGUCACGGUGAAUACGUUCCCGGGUCUU